GAUGAAGAACGCAGUGAAAUGCGAUAAUUAAUGUGAAUUGCAGAAUUCAGUGAAUCAUCGAGUCUUUGAACGCACAUUGCGCCCCCUGGUAUUCCGGGGGGCAUACCUGUCCGAGCGUCAUUGCUGCCCUCAAGCACGGCUUGUGUGUUGGGCUUCCGUCCCUGGCAACGGGGACGGGCCCAAAAGGCAGUGGCGGCACCAUGUCUGGUCCUCGAGCGUAUGGGGCUUUGUCACCCGCUCCCGUAGGUCCAGCUGGCAGCUAGCCUCGCAACCAAUCUUUUUAACCAGGUUGACCUCGGAUCAGGUAGGGAUACCCGCUGAACUUAAGCAUAUCAAUAAGCGGAGGA
This 347-nucleotide unclassified non-coding RNA is filed under the name soil metagenome. Its description in RNAcentral is "partial contains 5.8S ribosomal RNA, internal transcribed spacer 2, and large subunit ribosomal RNA". The stretch from base 1 to 120 matches the Rfam family "5.8S ribosomal RNA", at positions 35 to 154 of the family's 154-position model. The record is from RNAcentral.